RNAcentral lists this ribosomal RNA (491 nucleotides) under uncultured bacterium. Its description in RNAcentral is "partial 16S ribosomal RNA". It matches the Rfam family "Bacterial small subunit ribosomal RNA", at positions 29 to 507 of the family's 1533-position model. The record is from RNAcentral.
AGUGAACGCUGGCGGUAGGCCUAACACAUGCAAGUCGAACGGCAGCACAGUAAGAGCUUGCUCUUACGGGUGGCGAGUGGCGGACGGGUGAGGAAUACAUCGGAAUCUACUUUUUCGUGGGGGAUAACGUAGGGAAACUUACGCUAAUACCGCAUACGACCUACGGGUGAAAGCAGGGGAUCUUCGGACCUUGCGCGAUUGAAUGAGCCGAUGUCGGAUUAGCUGGUUGGCGGGGUAAAGGCCCACCAAGGCGACGAUCCGUAGCUGGUCUGAGAGGAUGAUCAGCCACACUGGAACUGAGACACGGUCCAGACUCCUACGGGAGGCAGCAGUGGGGAAUAUUGGACAAUGGGCGCAAGCCUGAUCAGCCAUACCGCGUGGGUGAAGAAGGCCUUCGGGUUGUAAAGCCCUUUUGUUGGGAAAGAAAAGCAGCAGGUUAAUACCCCGCUGUUCUGACGGUACCCAAAGAAUAAGCACCGGCUAACUUCGUG